Molecule: unclassified non-coding RNA, 313 nt
Filed under: Hevea brasiliensis (rubber tree)
Lineage: Eukaryota; Viridiplantae; Streptophyta; Magnoliopsida; Malpighiales; Euphorbiaceae
Source: RNAcentral
GAAGAAGCAGCCCCAAUCCCCUUCUCCCCCUCUUUCCAAAUAUGGAAAUAUUCUACUUCCUCGUCUUCGGUGGCCUGUCGGCGGUGGUGGCGGUGCUGGAGCUGAGCAAGAGCAGCAAGGACCGCGUCAGCACCUCCGUCGCCUUCAACGCCUUCAAGAACAACUACGUGUUCGUCUACUCGCUCAUGAUGGCUGGAGACUGGUUGCAGGGUCCGUAUGUGUACUACCUCUACAGCCAGUAUGGCUUCAGUAAGGGCGAGAUCGGCCGGCUGUUUAUCGCCGGGUUCGGGUCUUCGAUGCUGUUCGGGACAAU